GAUGAAGAACGCAGUGAAAUGCGAUACGUAGUGUGAAUUGCAGAAUUCAGUGAAUCAUCGAAUCUUUGAACGCACAUUGCACAUCUCGGUAUUCCGGGAGGUAUGCCUGUUCGAGCGUCAUUUGUACCCUCAAGCUCUGCUUGGUGUUGGGUGUUUGUUCCGCCUCUGUGUGUGAACUCGCCUCAAAACAAUUGGCAGCCGGCGUACUUGUUUCGGAGCGCAGCACAUUUUGCGAUCCAGAUCAACGUACAGCGGCAUCCAAGAAGCCUUAUUUAACGCUCUUGACCUCGGAUCAGGUAGGGAUACCCGCUGAACUUAAGCAUAUCAAUAAGCGGAGGA
Molecule: unclassified non-coding RNA, 339 nt
Filed under: soil metagenome
Description: partial contains 5.8S ribosomal RNA, internal transcribed spacer 2, and large subunit ribosomal RNA
Rfam family: 5.8S ribosomal RNA (bases 1-120)
Source: RNAcentral